This 166-nucleotide ribosomal RNA is filed under the name uncultured bacterium. RNAcentral describes it as "partial 16S ribosomal RNA". It matches the Rfam family "Bacterial small subunit ribosomal RNA", at positions 353 to 511 of the family's 1533-position model. The record is from RNAcentral.
UAGGGGAAAUCUUCCACAAUGGGCGAAAGCCUGAUGGAGCAACGCCGCGUGUGUGAUGAAGGGUUUCGGCUCGUAAAACACUGUUGUAAGAGAAGAAUGACAUUGAGAGUAACUGUUCAAUGUGUGACGGUAUCUUACCAGAAAGGAACGGCUAAAUACGUGCCAG